Molecule: transfer RNA, 74 nt
Filed under: Pteropus alecto (black flying fox)
Lineage: Eukaryota; Metazoa; Chordata; Mammalia; Chiroptera; Pteropodidae
Rfam family: tRNA
About the family: Transfer RNA (tRNA) molecules are approximately 80 nucleotides in length. Their secondary structure includes four short double-helical elements and three loops (D, anti-codon, and T loops). Further hydrogen bonds mediate the characteristic L-shaped molecular structure. tRNAs have two regions of fundamental functional importance: the anti-codon, which is responsible for specific mRNA codon recognition, and the 3' end, to which the tRNAs corresponding amino acid is attached (by aminoacyl-tRNA synthetases). tRNAs cope with the degeneracy of the genetic code in two manners: having more than one tRNA (with a specific anti-codon) for a particular amino acid; and 'wobble' base-pairing, i.e. permitting non-standard base-pairing at the 3rd anti-codon position.
Source: Rfam by way of RNAcentral
GGCUCCAUAGUGUAGUGGUUAGCAUGUCUGCUUUACACGCAGAAGGUCCUGGGUUCGUGCCCCAGGUGGAGCCG